CGGCGAAGCGACCCUUGGCGGUUCCGAAGGCUUUUAUUAGAAGAGGGGCGGUAUAAAGGAUUGUUAUACCCAGCGGCGUGCCUCAAGGGCCAUUGCUGUUUAUUAUCUUUGUGAAUGACAUCGACCACUGCUUCCACUCCUCGCAGCUACUCUGUUUUGCUGAUGACAUGAAAAUAUUCGCCCGCAUCUCAUCGAUUGCUGACGCUGAGGCGCUCCAGUCGGAUCUUUCUCGUUUGGAGGAUUACUGUUCAAAUCAUCUGCUCGACUUGAAUCCUGUUAAGUGUAGUAUAGUAACAUAUACUCGCAAACAUAUCCCAAUUAAUUUCCACUACACUCUUAAGGGUGAAAUUCUUGAGAGAAACAAGCUAGUACGAGAUCUUGGAGUGUUUCACGACAGUAAGCUGAUGUUUGACGCCCACAUUGAGAAAAUUACUGCUAAGGCGUAUAAAGCACUUGGGUUUGUGAUGCGUUCAUCAAAAGACUUCGUCAAAAUUAAAACGUUUAAGGUACUGUACUGUACCUUUGUGCGCAGUAACUUGGAGUAUGCGUCGCAGAUCUGGAAUCCUAUGUACCAAAAAUACAUCCAUCAAAUUGAGAACAUACAAAAGAAGUUUGUGCGUUAUGUUUGCUACCGGUUUAAACAGCGAUAUUCAUCUAGUAUGUAUUUGGAUAUGUGCAGGAGAUUUCAUUUGCUCCCUCUCGAGAAACGACGGGAAAUAGCAGACUUGAUUUACUUGUUAAAAAUAACUACUGGUGUUGUUGAUUGUCCAAGCCUGCUAUCAAAAAUAUAUAUUAAGCCCCCUUAUAGAAGUCUGCGUCACAAUAAUUUGAUUUUUCUUCCGCGCGCUACUACUAACUAUCGGCAGAAUACUUAUAUUUGGCGAGCCGCAAAUAGUUUUAAUAACCUAUGCGCUACAACUGAAUUAGAUUUGUUCAACACUGGUUGUGAGGCAGCGAGACGUGAGAUUAGCAAGCAAUUCUUUAACCUGUAGCAUAGAAUAAAUAGUAGUGUAUCUAGGUUGAAUGACGCGUGCAUUGUAAGUGUAGCCUUUUUGUACAUUUUGUGUUUUUGAGACAGUAAUGGUUAACUGCUGACUUUGUUAUUAUGCCUAGUGUAAUGUGCAUUAGUGCAAACCUUUUUGUUUGUUUUUUUUUUUCAAUUUGCUAUCUGCGAGGAACUAUAAUUGGCUUUCUGUUUUUUACCAUAAGUUGCUACUAAAUUAAUUAUAGCUGUUGUUUCUCCGAACAUUAAAUAAAUAAAUAAAUAAAUAAACAUCCAGACAGUCAUUUUAUCUGCAAGUUGUAAAAAGUGAAAAAAAUAGCAAAAUUUUAGUUAUUGUUUGGUAACUUUUUACACGAUUAUUGUCGGCGUCAAGCUAUUUCAAUAGAAAUCGAAGCAAUAUGUAAUAAAAUAUAUUUUUUCUGCUAAAACAUAACAUAGCAUCACUCCUGGAUCCCCGAAGUGGUAGGCAGAAAGACCUCAUAAUUUCAGCGCGCCUCAUCGAGGCAACGUCCGACCCCAGAUCUGGUAGCUAUUUUGCCCAAAGGGUCAGUGUGGCGGUGCAGAGGGGCAACGUGGCCAGUAUUCUGGGGACUUUGUCUCGAUGUGGUGAGCUGGAGGACAUAUUUUUACUUUAAAAUUAUUAUUUUAAUAUUGUUUAUAAUAUUAUGUCUGUGAUUACAAUUGUAGUUGAAUUUGUAUUUGUUUAUUGUAUUUUUAAUUUGUAUUUAAUAAAUCUUUUAUUUUCUUCUUCUUUUAAUCGUGUGGAUUGUGAGGUGGAAUACCAACCUCAUCAACCCUGGUGUCAGGGUUAUGAUUGAGCUGCCAAAGGCCCCUGACAUGGCUCAUGUAACGAUUACUCACUUACAUCAGUAAAUAGUAUCCGGGACCAACGGCUUAACGUGCCUUCCGAAGCACGGAUCAUCUUACUUUCGGAAAAUCAGGUGAUCAGCCUGUAAUGUCCUAACCAAACUAGGGAUCACAGAGUAAUUUUUGUGAUAUGUCCCCACUGGGAUUCGUACCCGGGGCCUCCGGAUCGUGAGUCCAACGCUCAACAGCUGGACCACAGGCCGUAUUAUUCUUUUAUUUUGAUUGUCUAUGAUCCAACAUGAAUUCAUACUCAUAAAGUCAAGGUUUAGAGCCAGACGCGGGAUUCGAACCCGUAACAUUGCGAUAUAAGUCACACGUUCUUCGAACAGGGCUAACACGGAUUUUCUUCUAUCCAGAUUAGAAUCCUAAGCACGUGAUGCCGCUAACUUAAGUAGUAACCCUUAUCGUUAUUGGUAACAAUUGGUAAUAAUAUUACCCUGUCUCGUAACUUGCCGAAAUUCAAUUAUUGUCUCGACGUGUAGGUUUGUUCCUUUAUAGCGUUUUGUGGAACAUUUUUUUUUGCGUAGCUACAUAUGUACUUAAGAAAAUAGUAGUAGCCGUGCCCUCCGAAGCUCGAAUCGUCUUAUUUUCGUACAAUCGGGCGAUCAGCCUGCAAAGUCGUAACCAAAUUAGAGAUCGCAAAGCGAUUUUUGUGAUAUAGAUAUCCUCAUUUUUUUAUUGUAGGUUGGCCGCAAAUGCCAUGACCCACUUGGCCGGACAAAAAUGAGUCUACCAGUUGCUAUCUCUGUAGUCGAAAUCGACGGUGAAGUAUCAUGUACGCCACUUUGUACUAUGCUAUUCACAUUAAAGUGUAUUUGAUUUGAUUUGAUUUGACUAUCAACCCUCAACCAUGAAAGAUCGAAUAAAUUUAAAUCAGGUCAAGAGACAUCAAUCUAGAAAUUCACGAAGACAAUAAACUUGUCAUCCAUUGAAACAGUCUGGAGUCCUUUUAAUAAGCCUCGUUGCGAGCCAUCGACGAUACAACAUCUAGACUCCUAAUAACGGAUGGAACGGUUCUGUCAACAUAUCUGACUAUGAGAUCAUACACGAGCUUUGGCGAAACCUCCACACCCCAUUUGGGGUAAAAUUUAUUGGAUAUAGUCAACCCAUAAGUGGCCGCGCAGCAGCGACCGAGAAACCAAAAUUAAUAAGAUUUUUUUUCCCUUCAUCAUCAUCAUCAGCCCAUUAACGUCCCCACUGCUGGGACACGGGUCUUCCAUAUGGAUGGAUAGGGAGAUCGGGCCUUAAACCAUCACGCGGGCCCAGUGCGGACUGAUGGUUAUUAACGACUGCUAAUGCAGCCGGGACCAGCGGCUUAACGUGCCUUCCGAAGCACGCAGGAAGCAAAUUAAUUUAACAAAUUUGUUAUUACAAAGUGCGUGAAUCUUUAACUAUUAUUAUUAUGUACUAUUAGGCAUCUGUCCUGUAGGUUGGUUGAUAUGGGCUGUCUGCGGUUGCGUUUGAUAACCGAGAAGGGACGGCAAACAAAGUAUGAAGGGUUCUUAUCUACGCCUCCAGCCUGUGACGGGUGUUUUACCUGCUAACUUGCAAACUGUACAGUCCGAUUGUUAGGUAUUGAGGAGGGAAGGGACUGUUUGGCCUGUCCAAACUACAGUGACGAGCCAAAAUUACGAGUCUGGCAGAAAUAAUAACGAUUACUCCAAAAGGAACGAAUAUACCUUCGACAUGUUUUUAUCUAGCCCUAUAGGCGGCCAAUCAGCUCGCGACACCAAACACUUCAGGACCCCGAUACCGACCCCGCCGGCGUGGUCGACGAUUUCCCUCAAUCAGCGCUUAUCGCUAUCGACCCGCCAGGGUCAAUUAAUUCUUUAAAAUAUUUUUUCCUCUCAGACACCCUGAACCGAGGUUCGCGUCCAACUGGGCACCCUCAGGCCUGUUGGCUUAAACGUUGUACCGGGUGAGAGCCUUCAGCGCUCCCCAUUUGUCCGGCCAAGUAGUUAAUGCCAUCUGCGGCAAAUCUACAAUAAGUCACGUCAAAAAAAAAACAGACAUGUUUUUAUUUAAGUAUGUCCUUUUUCUAUCGUGUGGAUUUCAUCUUAAAUGAUUCUGUUCUCUGGGGAUAGGUUAAUGGUCUUGUUUGAAACAAAAAAAGGUUUUGAUAAUUACGCAGAGAAAAUAAUUUUGAAUAAAGAAUUUUACGUGUAUUAGUGGCGGCCCUAGCGAAAUAUACGUAUUUAGGUGGUGCGAGGCCUCAAAGUGGCACCCCUCAGUCCCUUAAAAUACAAACAUUUUCGAUAAAUUUACGGCCACCGAAAUUUACCUGUUUAAAUAUUUUUUUUAAAUGUUGUUUACCCGCCACCCGGUAUGAGUUGUGGCCGCAAUUUAAGAAGUUUAGUUUGCGGCCAGGGUGAACCAGUCUUGGUUGAUUCCCCCCCGGCACACCUCGCACCGCUCUACGUAUCCAUCACCAUCACCAUCAUCAGCCCAUUAACUUCCCCACUGCUGGGGCACGGGCCUUCCCUAUGGAUGGGUAGGGAGAUCGGGCCUAACCAUCACGCGGGCCCAGUGCGGAUUGAUGGUUAUUAACGACUGCUAAUGCAGCCGGGACUAACGGCUUAACGUGCCUUCCGAAGCACGGAGGAGCUCGAGAUGAAGAACUUUUUUUUGUGGUCACCCAUCCAAUGAUUUUAAUUUUACUUUAUUUUUAAAUACUUAAGUACCCUUAAUUGUAUAAGUUAUGUACGCCGUAAUUGUCAUAUAUAUUAGUCACAAUACCGUAACCUUAUAAAUGUAAAAUGUUUUAAUAUAUGUGAUGUGGUUGUACUUUAUAAAUAAAUAAAUAAAUGACCGGC
Long non-coding RNA from Pectinophora gossypiella (pink bollworm), 4683 nucleotides. RefSeq lists it as uncharacterized. The record is from RefSeq and is a predicted model, not a curated record. The transcript has 2 exons. NCBI's taxonomy places the organism in Eukaryota, Metazoa, Arthropoda, Insecta, Lepidoptera, Gelechiidae.